CCUCUCUCUCGUCAGCAACGCCGGAAAAUCCCCUUGCAACGCCGGCAAAUCCCGGCUGGUUUGGGCGAGCCUCUUACCGCCGACCACCGCACCGGCACCAAAUCCUCCUAAUGCACUGUCUCCAUGGCGUAGAACUGCCGUUCCGCAGCCUCCACAGCGAACCCUACACCGCAUAAAUGCGCCGAAGCGGCGCCGCCACGUUGCUCCGUCGAGCUUCGGCCGACCCUCCUCCUCAACUGCAUCAGCAGGCCGCCGCCAAGAACACCCACUGCUACAAAUCGAAAGGCUCCUUCAGGUAACGGCGUGUGGCCGCGGGCGGCGGGACGGUCUCGUUGCGGCGCCGGGAUGACGGCGGGGACGAACGCAGGACGGGCCGGUGGUCGCCUGCGGCGCCUGCUGCUGCUGCAAGAAAUCCGGCGGGAGCUUCUGCUGCCGGUGUCUUCUUCUGGCAACCCGCCCUCAACCGUGGGCUACCACUCGAAGCUGCUGCAUCCAGAAAUGAUACAAGUAUGCAUCGCAAGAGACAAGCACGCAAGAAUAUAACCACUAAUUGCAAGUCGUGGCAAGGAAAAGGGAGGGGAGAUACAGAGGAAGAAUGGAAGAUGUCUCCUUUUCUGCCCUGGUUGUAGUGGCGCUGGGCCUUUCUGGCAGCCAGAGAUUCCUCUUCUAGCAUGGUUGCCACCGUAGGUCAGCAGUAGGAGCCGCGAUUGCUGGACCUCUAAUUCGAGCAGGAUGGAAGAAAGGUUUUCCCUAUGGCAGCUAGCGAAAACUGGCCUGCUCGGUGGUGCCGCGGGCAUUGAUUCGACGGUCCACAUCGUGCACGUGGACGAGGGAGCGCGGUGUGGACUGUGCUGCAUGUCGGCGGG
Molecule: long non-coding RNA, 866 nt
Organism: Lolium perenne
Lineage: Eukaryota; Viridiplantae; Streptophyta; Magnoliopsida; Poales; Poaceae
Source: RefSeq, a predicted model, not a curated record